RNA transcript from Pseudophryne corroboree (corroboree frog), 3556 nucleotides. It is a transcript of the gene named dynein light chain Tctex-type protein 2B-like, with no coding region annotated. The record is from RefSeq and is a predicted model, not a curated record. The transcript is spliced from 2 exons. NCBI's taxonomy places the organism in Eukaryota, Metazoa, Chordata, Amphibia, Anura, Myobatrachidae.
GAGAAGUGAGCAGGUGGAGAAGUUCCCAAAGGCAAUCAAUCAGUGUUGCGUUAAAAUGUAUAAAGUGCCUUCUAUAAAAUUAUACGUAGCAGCUGAUUGGUUAUCAUGGGCAACUUCUCCACUUGCUCACUUCUCCAUACUUUUCACUGCUUCAUGAUUAGACCCCAAGGCUUUUGGGCCCUUCAAGGACUAGUGAAUCAGAAGAAUCUGAUGUACGCAUAAUGCUGGCUUGCGUGCAGUGGUGCAAGUAGAAAAAAGGUCUUAUAGGUACUGUGUGCGUGCGCCAAAAAUGGGCGUGACCAAAUGGCACAUGGGGCGUGGCCAAUGAAAAUGGGGGCGUGAUACACAUAUGGGGGGGUCAAAUACACAUGACCCUAAUAGUGCCAGAUACACAAAUGACCCCCCAGUGCCAGAUAUACAUUGCCCCCACAGUGCCAGAAAUACAUUGCCCCACUGUGCCAGAUAUACAUUGCCCCCACUGUGCCAGAUAUACAUUGCCCCACUGUGCCAGAUAUACAUUGCCCCACGGUGCCAGAUAUACAUUGCCCCCACGGUGCCAGAUAUACAUUGCCCCCACUGUGCCAGAUAUACAUUGCCCCCACUGUGCCAGAUAUACAUUGCCCCACUGUGCCAGAUAUACAUUGCCCCACUGUGCCAGAUAUACAUUGCCCCACUGUGUCAGAUAUACAAUGCCCCACUGUGCCAGAUAAACAUUGCCCCCACGGUGCCAGAUAUACAUUGCCCCCACGGUGCCAGAUAUACAUUGCCCCCACGGUGCCAGAUAUGCAUUGCCCCCACGGUGCCAGAUAUACAUUGCCCCCACGGUGCCAGAUAUACAUUGCCCCCACGGUGCCAGAUAUACAUUGCCCCCACGGUGCCAGAUAUACAUUGCCCCCACGGUGCCAGAUAUACAUUGCCCCACUGUGUCAGAUAUACAAUGCCCCACUGUGCCAGAUAAACAUUGCCCCACUGUGCCAGAUAAACAUUGCCCCCACGGUGCCAGAUAUACAUUGCCCCCACGGUGCCAGAUAUACAUUGCCCCCACGGUGCCAGAUAUACAUUGCCCCCACUGUGCCAGAUAUACAUUGCCCCCACUGUGCCAGUUAUACAUUGCCCCCACAGUGCCAGAUAUACAUUGCCCCCACAGUGCCAGAUAUACAUUGCCCCCACAGUGCCAGAUAUACAUUGCCCCCACUGUGCCAGAUAUACAUUGCCCCCACUGUGCCAGAUAUACAUUGCCCCCACUGUGCCAGAAAUACAUUGCCCCACUGUGCCAGAUAUACAUUGCCCCCACUGUGCCAGAUAUACAUUGCCCCACUGUGCCAGAUAUACAUUGCCCCACGGUGCCAGAUAUACAUUGCCCCAUGGUGCCAGAUAUACAAUGCCCUACUGUGCCAGAUAAACAUUGCCCCACUGUGCCAGAUAAACAUUGCCCCACUGUGCCAGAUAAACAUUGCCCCACGGUGCCGGAUAUACAUUGCCCCCACGGUGCCAGAUAUACAUUGCCCCCACGGUGCCAGAUAUGCAUUGCCCCCACGGUGCCAGAUAUACAUUGCCCCCACGGUGCCAGAUAUACAUUGCCCCCACGGUGCCAGAUAUACAUUGCCCCCACGGUGCCAGAUAUAUAUUGCCCCCACUGUGCCAGAAAUACAUUGCCCCACUGUGCCAGAUAUACAUUGCCCCCACUGUGCCAGAUAUACAUUGCCCCACUGUGCCAGAUAUACAUUGCCCCACGGUGCCAGAUAUACAUUGCCCCACGGUGCCAGAUAUACAAUGCCCCACUGUGCCAGAUAAACAUUGCCCCACUGUGCCAGAUAAACAUUGCCCCACUGUGCCAGAUAAACAUUGCCCCACGGUGCCGGAUAUACAUUGCCCCCACGGUGCCAGAUAUGCAUUGCCCCCACGGUGCCAGAUAUGCAUUGCCCCCACGGUGCCAGAUAUACAUUGCCCCCACGGUGCCAGAUAUACAUUGCCCCCACGGUGCCAGAUAUACAUUGCCCCCACGGUGCCAGAUAUACAUUGCCCCCACGGUGCCAGAUAUACAUUGCCCCCACGGUGCCAGAUAUACAUUGCCCCACUGUGUCAGAUAUACAAUGCCCCACUGUGCCAGAUAAACAUUGCCCCACUGUGCCAGAUAAACAUUGCCCCACGGUGCCAGAUAUACAUUGCCCCCAUGGUGCCAGAUAUACAUUGCCCCCACGGUGCCAUAUAUACAUUGCCCCCACUGUGCCAGAUAUACAUUGCCCCCACUGUGCCAGAUAUACAUUGCCCCCACAGUGCCAGAUAUACAUUGCCCCCACUGUGCCAGAUAUACAUUGCCCCCACUGUGCCAGAUAUACAUUGCCCCCACUGUGCCAGAUAUACAUUGCCCCCACUGUGCCAGAUAUACAUUGCCCCCACUGUGCCAGAUGUACAUUGCCCCCACUGUGCCAGAUGUACAAUGCCCCCACUGUGCCAGAUGUACAAUGCCCCCACUGUGCCAGAUGUACAAUGCCCCCACUGUGCCAGAUGUACAAUGCCCCCACUGUGCCAGAUGUACAAUGCCCCCACGGUGCCAGAUAUACAUUGCCCCCACGGUGCCAGAUAUACAUUGCCCCACUGUGUCAGAUAUACAAUGCCCCACUGUGCCAGAUAAACAUUGCCCCACUGUGCCAGAUAAACAUUGCCCCACGGUGCCAGAUAUACAUUGCCCCCACGGUGCCAGAUAUACAUUGCCCCCACGGUGCCAUAUAUACAUUGCCCCACUGUGCCAGAUAUACAUUGCCCCCACUGUGCCAGAUAUACAUUGCCCCCACUGUGCCAGAUAUACAUUGCCCCCACUGUGCCAGAUGUACAUUGCCCCCACUGUGCCAGAUAUACAUUGCCCCCACUGUGCCAGAUGUACAUUGCCCCCACUGUGCCAGAUGUACAUUGCCCCCACUGUGCCAGAUGUACAAUGCCCCCACUGUGCCAGAUGUACAAUGCCCCCACUGUGCCAGAUGUACAAUGCCCCCACUGUGCCAGAUAUACAUUGCCCCCACUGUGCCAGAUAUACAUUGCCCCCACUGUGCCAGAAAUACAUUGCCCCACUGUGCCAGAUAUACAUUGCCCCACGGUGCCAGAUAUACAUUGCCCCACUGUGCCAGAUAUACAUUGCCCCACUGUGCCAGAUAUACAUUGCCCCCACUGUGCCAGAAAUACAUUGCCCCACUGUGCCAGAUAUACAUUGCCCUACUGUGAUCUCUCCCCCCCCCCCCCCCCCCCCCGUUCACCUUUGCCUCUUUUGUUUUGCAUGCCAUGUGAGGGGAGGACAGCGCAGCGCGCGCCUAUCCUGCCGUCACGAGCUCUGAUUGGCUAGAAAGCUGGUGCAUUAUUGAGAUCACCCCCCGCCGCCGCAGCCGCUGGAGCGGAGACCGGACAUCACCGAGUAUUGAGGGGUAGGAGAGGCGCUGCGCUCUCCUCCCCUCACACAGACGCCAGGGAAAUGCAGGUGCCAGCUGCUUCUGCAAACCCCGUACAGAGGUUUCCAUAUUCCCAAGCAAAAGAGCUCAUUCAGGAAUUCCUGACAGCCAAGCUA